AUAUAUCCUAUUUGAAGAAUUUAAAAUGUAAGUUGCAAUCAUUUACAUUCAAAAAUAAAAACAAUUUGUAUGUAAUAUUUUAAUUCAUAAACACGUUUUCUGGAAAUUACUUCAAAGAUUUAGAAUUUGAUAAAGUUAUUUGCCUGUUUACAUCACCAAUAAAAGAUAGAAAAAACAAAGGAACACACACACAUAACAAAGAAUAAGGAACAACACUAUUUUCAUUUGUCCCACUUGUUAAAGGUUGACCUUUGUAACUACAGCUGUUUCUGAAACCACUCCUCUUUUGGGGAGAUAUAUAAUAUUUAUAGAUGAUAAAUUAGGUUUACGUACUGCUUCCCAGAUGUGAUCUCUAUGUUUUAUCUCGUAGAGACCUUACUAGAAAUACAAAAAUACCUCAAUAAAACUAUUAAUAGUGUGUUAUAUUCUAAAUUUGUUCUAAAUAUUCUAUAUUGAUAGAAACAGCGGAAUACUUUAGGAAAUAUGAAGCCUCAGGGAAAAAAACGAAAAAAAUCUUACCCCUGGCUCAUUAAACAAAACAAAUUGAUUUGUAUGUUUUUAUUUUAUUAUUUUUAAGGGUCUUUUGUAUAGAAAACAAUAACUGUGUUCGAAAGUUAUGAAAAAAAUCAGAUUUAAGCAGUCAUUUCUAUACAACUGUUAGUGAAUUCAUGCCCAGACUGGUAUCUUUAUACAUACAACCUUUGCAAAUAUGGCUUUGUUUAAAGACUUCUAGUUCAUAUAUUAGGUAAAUUAUGUUAGAAAUGUGGUAGAAAAUGAUACUGUUAUGACAAGAGUUUUAAAUUGACCAUUUGAGGAAGAAAUUAUGAAAUUUCAUUGACAAACAGGCAUACAUUAAGAUGUGGACUGGAGACGGAGGCAGGAUUGAAUACUUAUAAUCUUGAAUGUUGAAAUGAGAUUGACCGCUUAACAUUUCUAGUAUUCUGAAGUGCUUUCAAUUUGUUACAGAAUAGUUUCAAACAGAUUUUAGACAUUCCAUGUUAGAAAAAAUGCAAAUAGGGUUAGCUGGCAAUUACUAAAGUAUUGCUUUUAAAAUUUUAAAAAUAAUUUGAAACAGGGGUGGGGAAUAAAAUGAAUUGUAAAAGAAAACUAAGUAUACAUACAGUGAUUUCUAUUAAUCUUUAAUUCCGAUAACUAAGUAUUGGUGUGAGACAAAGUUUUUGGAGAGUUUUCUAUUUGAAUAAAUGUUAGUAUAGGUUGCACUUUGUAAAUACAGCUGUUUCUCAAACCAUGUCUCUUUUGGGGAGAUAUACAAUAUUCAAAGACAAUUAAUUAUACCAGUUUACAUAAUACUCCCUAUUUGAUAAAGGCAUCAUAUAUUCGCUCUAUUAAAACAUCGAUUGUUAUCUCAUAAGCAACACGACGGAUGCCACAUGUGGAGUAGGAUCUGCUUACCCUUCAGGAACACCUGAGAUCACCCCUAGGUAGUUUUUGGUGGGGUUCGUGUUGUUUUUUCUUUAGUUUUCUAUGUUGUGUCAUGUGUACUAUUGUUUGUCUGUUUGUCCUUUUAAUUUUAAGCUAUGGCGUUGUCAGUUUAUUUUCGAUUUAUGAGUUUGACUGUCCCUCUGGUAUCUUUCGUCCCUCUUUUGUAGAUAAAUAAAAAAAGCACUUAUUUGAGUUUAUCUGUAAAUAACUUGUCGAAUACAAAUCGAUUACUAUUUAAAUAAGAUUGAUAAUACUUCAUGUAUUGUAUAUGCCAGACACGCUUUUCUAGAAUGAGCUUCACCACGAACGCCAAAGGCCAAACAUUUAAAAUCAACGACUAAUAAGUACCGAUAAACGUUAUGCGCUUUAUGACCAAAAUGAGGCCUUAAAUACCAGCCAAAUCCAUCAAAUAUCAACUUUGUUUAAACAUUUUCGAAUCUUACAUGUAGUUUCUUUAAAAACAAAUGUUUAAAAAGACAAUAUAAGAACAUGAAGAAAGCUAUGUAAUAAAUCCUUCCAGUACCGAAUAAUGGAAUACUGAGCUGAGUAUGCUCUCAGAUUACCAUUGUCUACCAGCAGCAGUAUCUACCGAGUGCUACAUAACAUUUAUAUAUGUUUCAAUCGAAGAUAUUUACUUAAUUUACCUUGAUCAGGAGCACCAAAAACAACAGUGGGUAACCAUGUCAAAACAUGUACAGCAGUCAAUACUGUGUUAUAUUGAUGAUCACUCUAACGCAAUUUGAAAAAAAAAAAGUGAAACCGGGAAAAUAAUUUGAUGUACCAUGUCAAGUCAAAUUCGGGCAAAACCAGAUGCGUCAAUUGGGAAGACAUGUCAAGAUAAUCAUGCGUGUAUUUCUAAGCAAAUGAAACAUAUUACGAUUGAGAACAUUACAACAGGAAUAACAGAUCCAUAUUUGAGUCUGAUAUUAAUCUAAAUAGUAUUCAAGUCCUUCAAAAUGAUGUUAAUUUCAUUUAUAAAUUAUAAUAAUCAUGAUGAUGCAUAAUAUAGAUACGUUAUUGCAUAAGUGACAUAUGUGAUCACUUUUUUUUUUAUAUUAUACAUGGAAACAUCUUGAAAUGGACAUAAUUAUGUGACUUAAAAUUAUAUUUUGUUUCGUAGAUUUGUCUACAUUUUGAGCCAUGUAUUGAUUAAAAUAUGUUUCACGAACAUUUUCAAUUUUCCUAGACAGUUUGAUGCAAAACAAGUCAUUUUCUACAAGACAUCAUCUUAUGGCAAAAUAUCAAUGACAAGAUAUAAACAAUAUGCUAGGUGUCCUUAUUUUAAAGUUGUACACUAAACGAGUUUUAAGAAGUAAAGAUCGUUCCAAAAACGUAAUUCGAAACUUGAAAUACCGACACUGAUAUCAGACUGAAACAUGCUAUUAGAUAAAUGUACAAUAUUUUAUAAUUCAAGAUGUCAACAAGUGAUUAAUUCAUACCAUUUCUAUUACAAAAAGACGAUUUUGCAAGUGAUACAAGAACCAAAACAUAACACCAGGUCUAAUGUGAAAUGAGGACCAAAGACAUCGUAUUCGUCAACCAAUUCUUGAUGGUGCCUGGAAUACACGUAAAGUAUAAAUUUUGUCAUAACACAAGGUGGGAGAGGUGGAAGAACAUGUGCGAAAUAAUUGAACAUGUAUCAAUUAAGAUAUUUCAUGUCCAUUUUUACCACAACAAAUUGUGAAGUUGACUAUUGGAAAGUGUCUGGUGUAGAAUGUAAUCAUAAAAGAUAUAGUUAUAAAGCAGAUUGUAUCCUACUUGUUUACAGUUUAUUAAACAACAAGUUCGCUAGGGUAUAUAAACUUAUCAUAGAGGCCAGACUUUAAAUGUUACUUCUACAAAUGAGUAGCAAGCACAGGAUGAUUGAUAAUAUCACUUCACACUGAAACAGCUAUUUACCUUUCAUUUUUGUGUUUGACUCGGUUUUGUUCCCGAUUAAUAUCGUCUCUUUACUCUAAUAUCAAAGAACACAACAAAUAGAUAUUCUUGAUAAAAAAAAGUCACGCAUUUUGAUGAUAUAUUCAUUGACGUUUAUUUGGUCUUUGAAGGCAAAGUUGUUUUUCACAAAUACGGAUUUUUUUAUAUCUAAAAUCAGAAAUUUUUAUUUCGUUUUGAGUAGAAAAAGAGUAGAAAAAAAUCGUAUUAAGUGUAUUUCCUGCAAACCCAGUAGGAGACAGUUCACCAGAGGCUUAAACGGAUAUGUUAUAUAUGAAUGUCUGAAUACUUUACACAUAUUCUUCUAUUUAUUUAAGGAAUGACUGUAAUAUUUUUCCUGAAGAAAUAACAUAGAAAAUGUGGUGCACACUGAAUAACGCGCGUAGCGGAUUAUUUAAAGUGUGCACCACAUUUUUUUUUAUGUUACUUCGAAUAGGAGGAAAAUAUUACAGUCUUUUUUUAUAAUUUAAUUCUCAAUUUCAUUUAAACCGGAGUAAAUUAUGAAAAAAAAAAACGUUGAUGACCACAAUGUCAUGGUCACAUGACAAAAUAAUUUAUAUGAGCUGAUAAACAAAAUGACGUCAGCCAAUCAGAAGACACGUUACAUCCAAAAUUAAAUUAUUAGAUAAUAGUUCAUUUUUUGGAUUUAAGUGUCUUUUAAAAUUGCAAAGUUCAUGGCUACCGCACAGUGUACGGAGGGAAAUCUUUUGAGCUAUCUCGUUACAUUAAUACAUCGGAUAAAUGGAAGGAAAAAUGUAAAAUCAUUGAAUGAAAAAUAUUGAUCGAAUGCAGUCAGGAAAAUAUAUAUAGUAUAAUCAGAGAAGCUUUCAAUAGAUUAUAGUUAUUCAUGAGGGGGGAGAUUAGACACCUUCAAAAGUAUAAUGGUGUCUUUAUUGUUAUCAACCACCGUUAAAAAAUAAAGUGUUUGUUUAAUCUUAUGGCAAAACUUCGAAUUAACAAACAACUAACAUUCAAGAAUUGUUUCAUCAUACGACACAAAAUGAACCAACAAACAAUAAUUUGGACAAAGAGACGACUUUUUGGUUUCGUAUUGUUAACUAUCCCUCUUAGUGAUGUUCGUUGAUUUCAUUGUUAUGGCGUGUAUAUUUUUCAACUCGUACGACAAACAAGGUUCUGCAGUGACAUUUAAGAUAACAAUAAAUGCAAUCUUUUUUUUUUUUUUUUAUAUAAUUUAUUGAUCUUGAAGGCAGCUUUUUAGCUUCAAUACACGACGUAAAACAUAAUCUAUAUUUCUUCAUAGAUUUAAUGAUUUGAUUUGAAAGUUUGGCUGAAUUGGCUUCUCUUGUUUCGAGUUGUGUCAUUGACAAUCAUACCAUAUCUUCUUUUUUACAUUAUUACAAACGGUAAACCAUUUUCUAACGUUUACUCUGAUGUUGUUUUAAGUGCCGGGAAAUUAAGAUGCAAUCCAUCUGUACGUUUUUAUUACUAAUAUUAAUUGGAGUUUAAAUUAAUUGAAACAUAAAAAAAAGUAUUGAUAUACAGUCAUGAACAUUUUUAUCCUAAGGGAAACAUUACAAUGAUCUUAUGCUUCUUAACAUUUUUUUAGAACUUCCUCAAUCGUAGCUAAUUAUGUUCGGUUCGGACAGUAUGAUAUUAACCCGUUUUCUAAAUAAAUAUAGAUAAUUAUUUUUACUAUCUGUUAAUUCGAUUACAUGUUUUUACGAACUUCAUCAAACAAUAAUUAUGUGUACCUUGUGUACGUAAACAACAAAAAGAAGAUAGUUAUAAUUCGUGGUCGAAUACGAUUUAACUAGGUUCUUUAAUUGAAAAUUAUCAGUGAAUAUUUUCAUAUAUUUUUCAGAGAUCGAGCUGCAGAUAAAAAUUAAACUAGAAGCAAAAAAUGGCCAAGUUUUCAGGAAAUCGAAAAUUUCUUUUGCUGCUGGUGUUUGUACUGCUUUUAUUCACCAUAAAAAAAAACAUAACGAAAACCGAUAAUGAAGAACAACUGAAUUAUAUCAACGAAAUAGACCAGGUAAGAACUGUAACAAGCUCUGUAAUACAUCAUGUAUUCGUCAGCCAUAUCAGUUUUUUUACAAAGUAGCAGCAAAGCAAAAUUACAAAGC
This 5462-nucleotide long non-coding RNA is filed under the name Mytilus galloprovincialis (Mediterranean mussel). The record is from RNAcentral. Lineage: Eukaryota; Metazoa; Mollusca; Bivalvia; Mytilida; Mytilidae.